Molecule: long non-coding RNA, 1188 nt
Filed under: Chrysolophus pictus (golden pheasant)
Lineage: Eukaryota; Metazoa; Chordata; Aves; Galliformes; Phasianidae
Description: lncRNA (ENSCPIG00010010575.1)
Source: RNAcentral
GCACACACCGCCUCUCUCAAAACCUUUAUUAUCAGCAAAUAACAAAAGUCCGGGGAGCGCACGGCCGGGUGGGUGGGCAGCGCAAGCAGCGUGCGCACAGGGACGGGGCGAGGGGUGUCCCCACAGCCGGGAGCACAAUGACAACAGCUCAUAAAUAAACACCGCGAUGGGAAACCUCGGGCUCUGGGCCCAGUGCGCUCUGACCCCCCGCCCCCCUGGACAUGGGGAGCAGCUGGACCUCACAAUGGGGUGAGCUGGGAGGGGGGAGGGGGGAAUGCGAGGAUGGGAAUGCGGGAGCUGAGCCACUGGGGGACCGCGUGUCACUAGUGUCACAGCAUCCCCUGAAGCUGCGGGAUGGGUGGAACACUAGGACAGCAGUGACCAUCCCAGCCAACCAUCCUGGGGAGGGCAGAGCGCACAGGGGAUGAGCAGAGACACCUUCUACCUUUGCCUUUAAACACUGAAGCUUAUAUUAGGGACUAUGGCAUAGAACCUAGAGGUUCUAUAGAGACAGCAGAGAGCACAGCUCCGUGGCCGAGGGCUGCUCCGGUACUUGUAGGUGCGGGAGGUGAUGGGGCCGCCUGCCUAGGGCUGGUUCUUCGCCUCAGGGUCUUUGUCGUAGAUGUAGCUGCCCACGGCUCCGGUAUUGACGCCUGCAAGGAGGGACGUGCACAGCGGUUGUGAUGUGAGUAGGACGCGCGUCCCCCCGCCCCACACCCCAAGCACUCACCCUUGGGCCCGAAGAGGAUCCCGUAGCAGGGCUUGUGGCAGUAGGGCUGCCCGUCGUGCUGAGCGGCGAGGAGAGACAGACGUGUCACCGUGUGGCACAGCGGGGCUGUGCAGGGCGCUGCGCGGAGCCGCGCUGCCCUCUCGCGGUGGCACAGCCCGGCACGGCGCAGCCCGGCACGGCACGGCACCGCGGUGCGGGGCCGGGGGUGGCCGCCCUUACCUCGGCGUGGCCCCCGGGGGUCAGCGUCUUGCUGCAGCGCUCGCAGCGUAGGCAGGGCCGGUGCCAGGCCUUUCCCAGCGAGGUCACCUUCUCGGCUAUAACGGGGACAAGAGGGGCCCCCCCACACGUCACCAAAACGUGGAGAUGUCACCUCUUCGGAUAAAACCCCACAGACCCCAGCCACCUGCAUGCCCCAAACCUUCUCGGCUAUAACGGGGACAAGAGGGACCCCCCCACAC